Molecule: long non-coding RNA, 408 nt
Organism: Hypanus sabinus (Atlantic stingray)
Lineage: Eukaryota; Metazoa; Chordata; Chondrichthyes; Myliobatiformes; Dasyatidae
Exons: 3
Source: RefSeq, a predicted model, not a curated record
UUCAUCAUGGGACAAUUUACAAUGUUCAAUUUAACUGCCAGCUGAUAUCUCUUUGGACUGUGAGAGGAAACCAGAGUACCUGGAGGAGUCCCACAUGGUCACGGGGAGAACAUACAAACUCCUUACAGACAGCGGCAAGAACUGAAGCGAACAUAUUUGCCAAUGAGAGAAAGCCAUGUCAUUAGUGUACAAGAUGAUGAGAGGCAUUGAUCGUGUGGAUAGUCAGAGGCUUUUUCCCAAGGCUGAAAUGGUUGCCACAAGAGGACACAGAUUUAAGGUGCUGGGGAGCAGGUACAGAGGAAAUGUCAGGGGUAGGAUUAUGAACCGUUAUCCUGUGAGGAAAAUGAAAAACUACUUCAAGAAUUUGUAAAGCAGAAGGGAUACAAUUUGAUGAUAUUUCAGCCCAGG